Molecule: non-coding RNA, 21 nt
Filed under: Arabidopsis thaliana (thale cress)
Lineage: Eukaryota; Viridiplantae; Streptophyta; Magnoliopsida; Brassicales; Brassicaceae
Source: RNAcentral
UCAGCGUGCUCCGGGCGUCGG